This 460-nucleotide ribosomal RNA is filed under the name uncultured bacterium. RNAcentral's name for it is "partial 16S ribosomal RNA". It matches the Rfam family "Bacterial small subunit ribosomal RNA", at positions 338 to 795 of the family's 1533-position model. The record is from RNAcentral.
CCUACGGGAGGCAGCAGUGAGGAAUAUUGGUCAAUGGACGAGAGUCUGAACCAGCCAAGUAGCGUGAAGGAUGACUGCCCUAUGGGUUGUAAACUUCUUUUAUAUGGGAAUAAAAUGUUCCACGUGUGGGAUUUUGUAUGUACCAUAUGAAUAAGGAUCGGCUAACUCCGUGCCAGCAGCCGCGGUAAUACGGAGGAUCCGAGCGUUAUCCGGAUUUAUUGGGUUUAAAGGGAGCGUAGGUGGAUUGUUAAGUCAGUUGUGAAAGUUUGCGGCUCAACCGUAAAAUUGCAGUUGAAACUGGCAGUCUUGAGUACAGUAGAGGUGGGCGGAAUUCGUGGUGUAGCGGUGAAAUGCUUAGAGAUCACGAAGAACUCCGAUUGCGAAGGCAGUUCACUGGACUGCACCUGACACUGAGGCUCGAACGUGUGGGUAUCAAACAGGAUUAGAUACCCUUGUAGUC